GAGGGUACAGCUCAGUGGUAGAGUGCAUGCCUAGCAUGCGUGAGGUCCUGGGUUCAAUUCUCCGUAUUCCCA
Molecule: transfer RNA, 72 nt
Filed under: Camelus bactrianus (Bactrian camel)
Lineage: Eukaryota; Metazoa; Chordata; Mammalia; Artiodactyla; Camelidae
Also listed under: 2 other names
Rfam family: tRNA
About the family: Transfer RNA (tRNA) molecules are approximately 80 nucleotides in length. Their secondary structure includes four short double-helical elements and three loops (D, anti-codon, and T loops).
Source: Rfam by way of RNAcentral